CCGUGAGGGUUGGGUUAAGUCCCGCAACGAGCGCAACCCUAUUGUUAGUUGCCAUCACAUAAUGGUGGGCACUCUAAUGAGACUGCCCGGGUCAACCGGGAGGAAGGUGGGGACGACGUCAAGUCAUCAUGGCCCUUACGCCUAGGGCUACACACGUACUACAAUGGUGCAUACAAAGGGUUGCGAAACCGCGAGGUCAAGCCAAUCCCAAAAAAUGCAUCCCAGUCCGGAUCGGAGUCUGCAACUCGACUCCGUGAAGUUGGAAUCGCUAGUAAUCCCGGAUCAGCAUGCCGGGGUGAAUACGUUCCCGGGCCUUGUACACACCGCCCGUCACACCACGAAAGCUGGUUCUACCCGACAACGGCGGACUAACCCUUCGGGAGGUAGUCGUCUACGGUAGGGCUGGUGAUUGGGGUGAAGUCGUAACAAGGUA
RNAcentral lists this ribosomal RNA (433 nucleotides) under uncultured delta proteobacterium. RNAcentral describes it as "bacterial SSU rRNA". It matches the Rfam family "Bacterial small subunit ribosomal RNA", at positions 1065 to 1498 of the family's 1533-position model. The record is from RNAcentral. Lineage: Bacteria; Deltaproteobacteria.